ACACUCGCGGCAGCAGCACAUAUACUAAAAUUGGGACAAUACAGAGAAGAUUAGCAUGACCCCUAAGCAAGGAUGACAUGCAAAUUUGUGAAGCAUUCCAUAUUUAA
RNAcentral lists this small nuclear RNA (107 nucleotides) under Otolemur garnettii (small-eared galago). The record is from RNAcentral. Lineage: Eukaryota; Metazoa; Chordata; Mammalia; Primates; Galagidae.